This is a long non-coding RNA of Phyllostomus discolor (pale spear-nosed bat), 175 nucleotides long. RefSeq lists it as uncharacterized. The transcript has 3 exons. The record is from RefSeq and is a predicted model, not a curated record. NCBI's taxonomy places the organism in Eukaryota, Metazoa, Chordata, Mammalia, Chiroptera, Phyllostomidae.
UGUAAUCUCUCCUCUUUCGUUUCUGAUUGUGUCUAUUUGUGUCUUCUCUCUUUUUUUCUUAAUGUGUCUGCUUAAAGGCUAGUCAAUUUUGUUUAUCUUUUCAAAGAACCAGCUCUUGGAUUCAUUGAUUCUUUUAAUUGUUCUUUAGUCUCUGUUUUGUACUUUUGCUCUUAUC